UACGAAGGGGGCUAGCGUUGCUCGGAAUCACUGGGCGUAAAGGGCGCGUAGGCGGAUCUUUAAGUCGGGGGUGAAAGCCCAGGGCUCAACCCUGGAAUUGCCUUCGAUACUGAAGAUCUCGAGACCGGAAGAGGUAAGUGGAACUGCGAGUGUAGAGGUGAAAUUCGUAGAUAUUCGGAGGAACACCAGUGGCGAAGGCGGCUCACUGGUCCAUUACUGACGCUGAGGUGCGAAAGCGUGGGGAGCAAACAGG
This 253-nucleotide ribosomal RNA is filed under the name uncultured bacterium. Its description in RNAcentral is "partial 16S ribosomal RNA". It matches the Rfam family "Bacterial small subunit ribosomal RNA", at positions 524 to 776 of the family's 1533-position model. The record is from RNAcentral.